Hypomesus transpacificus is the source of this 342-nucleotide long non-coding RNA. RefSeq lists it as uncharacterized. The transcript is spliced from 4 exons. The record is from RefSeq and is a predicted model, not a curated record. Lineage: Eukaryota; Metazoa; Chordata; Actinopteri; Osmeriformes; Osmeridae.
AAGGAUAUUCACGGGGAAGAGAGGGCAAGGGUGUUGGUGGUGCACGGCCUUCAAACGGGGGCAGUAAGGAUUGGCCGUCAGGCUCCUGCUAGAAACACAGUCUGCCAAUCUGCCCAGGCUAAAUGUGUUUAUUAACAGGAUGAUGCUCACUGAAGGAAUCAUAUGCUAAGAGGGGGGAGUGCAGGUUGUUAUCAAAUAAUCAUCUGGCUGAUGAAUGAGGCCUCCUAAGCUGUCAUCAUCAUCAUCAUCUAUGAGAUAUCCAACUUGGUCCGCUGUGAUUCUGAACAUCAGGCUGCCGCUGCUCCGUCGACUCUCCUCCGGUUUCAGACAGCGCUGCUGCUG